Long non-coding RNA from Physella acuta, 538 nucleotides. RefSeq lists it as uncharacterized. The record is from RefSeq and is a predicted model, not a curated record. Lineage: Eukaryota; Metazoa; Mollusca; Gastropoda; Physidae.
UGUCAACUUAAUUAAACACGUAUAUUAAUAGAGCGCAGUUUUCAGGUCGGUCAAACACACAGGACUGAUUAGCUCAGAAAAUGCUCGUCCAAGUAUCGUUAGUUAUCGCGAGUCUUGUUGCUUUUAACGGCAUCACCACAGAGGGCGCUGUGUCUAUAGGAGUAGGUGAAUGUCCAGAUGGUCACAAACCUGGAGAGUCCUGGUACCCCUGCAGGAUGCCAGAAAUGUGACUGCCAUGAGAACCGAUACACCUGUUACACCUGUGGCGUGUACGCCCUAGAGCUCAACACGACAGUGUGCUACCACUACAGGGAUGAAAGCAAACCUUACCCAGACUGCUGUACGCCCAUCACCAAGUGCCAGGGAGACGAAGGCUUCGAUGCCAGCAUGCUACAGAUCGUUGGGAAAUAGACCUGUGACCUCUCCUGUCAAGGGAAAUAGACCUGUGACCUCACCUGUCAAGGGAAAUAGACCUGUGACCUCACCUGUCAAGGGAAAACGUUGGUUGGGGAAUAGGUCAUACCUGUGAUCCGGAGAA